RNAcentral lists this long non-coding RNA (1221 nucleotides) under Gossypium barbadense (sea-island cotton). RNAcentral describes it as "long non-coding RNA (GBAR_LNC014127)". Lineage: Eukaryota; Viridiplantae; Streptophyta; Magnoliopsida; Malvales; Malvaceae. The record is from RNAcentral.
AUAAAAAGCUGCUACUGAAUCAACUGCCAAUUAAUAAAAGCCUAUGAAAAGUAUCCAAAUGAGGGAGAAUAAACAAUACUCAAUUUAAGAUAAGCAGGAAUAGAGAGAGAAAUCAUGUCAGGCAGCAAUAAGAUAGGUACUAGAAGCUGACCGACAAUAUAAUUGAUGUCGGGCAGCGUGGGGAACAAUAAUUGGGACUUUGCUUGCUCUGUAUGUGCCUACCCCCCCUGCACUUACCCUAUUUGCCGGAUUUCUCGGUUGCCGUGAUAUCUGGUCCUUUGAGUUUGCUCUCUCCCACUUAUUACUUUAUUAUUAUUUGCUUUUCCUCCUAUUCACCUCAUUUGUAUUCGUAUUUUAACAAUAUGGUAUUUUUGUGUAUUGUUAUCCAAAUUCUUGUUAGACAGUAGUUGGUUGUUUAUUAAUGAAAUAUUCAAAUAGACAGUGGAUAGUUGGUUGAGGUUGGUUUCGGAAAACAGGCAUGGGCUUGUCUUGUUCGAGCUACCUGACUUUGACCGAGUCUUAACCUGUCCUUGCCUCUUUGGGUGGCACAGGUAGAGCCAAGACUCAAGGGAGACUGCGAUUGCGACACUGCAGACAGAGGGUCAAGAAGGGCUGUCCUUCCAUAGUUGACCGCUGAAUCAGACAUGUGGCGAGUAAAGAAUGGUGGUUACUGUUAAUAGCCAAGCACGCGUGCGGCACCAGCGUCUCUAGCAGCAGUCAGCCGAGCAUGGAAUAGUGAGUCCACCUGACUUGUUCCCCAGAGUUUUUUUAUCCUCUUGCUGGAGUUAGUAUAAUUUGAAUUACCUUUGGUCGUUCAGACCUGUUUUUGACUGCCCAGACCUCCUGUAUGAACCCUCUCCAAAACAAAAGUACAACACUAUUAUGCUUUUAAGAUUAAAACUGACAAACAUGCCUGUUUCCUUUUACAAAUACGAGGAUUAUCAUUCAUGGUUUACAGCUUUGUUGUUUUUGAAUACUAAUUUUGAUGUGUUAUUUCGAUGAUGGUCUUCUAGAAUCAACUCGAUUGUUUCCAUCUAAUCUUUGUUCUGGGCAUUCAACAAUGCCAUCCCCCAGAAAUGAUUUUGCAGAAUAUUCAUUUCAAAACUUUUGUUAGGAAUCCAUUUCAAGCGAAGGAAGAAAUGUAACAUCCACAACUUGGGUCGGUAUGGCCCAGAUUAAAAAACUUUAAAUUUUUACACAAAUAAUAUAAAAAUAAAUAAU